This 498-nucleotide ribosomal RNA is filed under the name uncultured bacterium. RNAcentral describes it as "bacterial SSU rRNA". It matches the Rfam family "Bacterial small subunit ribosomal RNA", at positions 899 to 1397 of the family's 1533-position model. The record is from RNAcentral.
ACUCAAAGGAAUAGACGGGGGCCCGCACAAGCGGUGGAGCAUGUUGCUUAAUUCGAGGCAACGCGAAGAACCUUACCCAGGUUUGACAUGCUUUCGACUGGCGUUGAAAGACGCUUUUCCUUCGGGACGGAAGCACAGAUGCUGCAUGGCUGUCGUCAGCUCGUGCCGUGAGGUGUUCGGUUAAGUCCGGCAACGAGCGCAACCCGUGCCGUCAGUUGCCAUCAGGUAAUGCUGGGGACUCUGGCGGGACUGCCCGUGUCAAGCGGGAGGAAGGCGCGGAUGACGUCAAGUCCGUAUGGCUCUUACGCCUGGGGCUGCAAACGUGCUACAAUGGCCGGUACAACGGGGUGCCAUUCCGCGAGGAGGCGCGAAUCCUGAAAACCGGCCCCAGUUCGGAUCGCAGUCUGCAACUCGACUGCGUGAAGCCGGAAUCGCUAGUAAAGGGGCAUCAGCUACGGCUCCUUGAAUACGUUCCCGGGCCUUGUACACACCGCCCGU